Molecule: ribosomal RNA, 822 nt
Filed under: uncultured bacterium
Lineage: Bacteria
Description: partial 16S ribosomal RNA
Rfam family: Bacterial small subunit ribosomal RNA
Source: RNAcentral
AGAGUUUGAUCAUGGCUCAGGACGAAUGCUGGCGGCGUGCUUAACACAUGCAAGUCGAACGGUGAAGGAGGGCUUGCCCUCCGGAUCAGUGGCGAACGGGUGAGUAACACGUGGGCAACCUACCCUUCACUCUGGGAUAACCUCGGGAAACCGGGGCUAAUACCGGAUAUGACCUGGAGCGACAUCACUCUUGGUGGAAAGAACUUCGGUGAAGGAUGGGCCCGCGGCCUAUCAGCUAGUUGGUGGGGUAACGGCCCACCAAGGCGACGACGGGUAGCCGGCCUGAGAGGGCGACCGGCCACACUGGGACUGAGACACGGCCCAGACUCCUACGGGAGGCAGCAGUGGGGAAUAUUGCGCAAUGGGCGAAAGCCUGACGCAGCGACGCCGCGUGAGGGACGAAGGCCUUCGGGUUGUAAACCUCUUUCAGCAGGGACGAAGCGAAAGUGACGGUACCUGCAGAAGAAGCACCGGCUAACUACAUGCCAGCAGCCGCGGUAAUACGUAGGGUGCAAGCAUUGUCCGGAUUUAUUGGGCGUAAAGAGCUCGUAGGCGGCUUGUCACGUCGGGUGUGAAAACUCGGGGCUCAACCCCGAGCCUGCACUCGAUACGGGCUAGCUAGAGUAUUGNAGGGGAGACUGGAAUUCCUGGUGUAGCGGUGAANUGCGCAGAUNUCNNNGGAACACCGGUGGCGAAGGCGGGUCUCUGGGCAAUUACUGACNCUGAGGAGCGAAANCGUGGGGAGCGAACAGGAUUANAUACCCUGNAGUCCACNNCNUAAANGNNGGNNGCUAGNNGUGGGGAACCUUCCACGUUCUNNGU